Molecule: long non-coding RNA, 870 nt
Filed under: Chinchilla lanigera (long-tailed chinchilla)
Lineage: Eukaryota; Metazoa; Chordata; Mammalia; Rodentia; Chinchillidae
Description: lncRNA (ENSCLAG00000025658.1)
Source: RNAcentral
CACCACUGCAGGCUUCCUUACAUGUUUGGUGCUGGGAAUUUCUAGGGAGCACUUGCUUUAUACUUCUUGAACUAGUCCUUUUACAGCAUAAGAUGUCUUCAUUUUUCUCUCUGCGGAUGGUAUUUCCCAUGAAUGUGUAUCUUGCAAAUGGUUACAAAAAUGAGAAUUCUCAUGGCCUCAUCAUAUCCCCCCAUGUCUGAUGUCUAACAUACUGCUAUAUUCACAGGAGCACCGAUUCAGGGGCCACCUCACCUCUUGAACUGCGCCUCCACCCCAGAGUUGAUGUCAACAAAUACUGACACUGAGAUUCUUCGCGUCCUUGGAAAGAAAGUGGACUUUAGAAAACUUGGGCUUGACUGGAAAACCAAGGGCCAAGCGCACAUAAAAUGAAGGCAGCCACUGCUGAUGUGACGUUCUCCUGCACUGUCUGAGGACAUGUCUCGAGGCACCAGCAACUCCAACAGCCCUUCCAACUGGGUCACAGGUGACAAAGUGAAAGGCUCCGCCUCUGUGCAGGGAAACCGCUCACCAAGGAAAUCCAAACGCAGAAAAGAAGCAGACUGGGCCCAAGGCUCCCAGAGGAAUAACAAAACGAGGAGCGAGCAUGACUGCAGCAAUGGUCCUUUCAAGCAGCAGCUAACUUGGUGGAACACCCUGUCCCUUGGGUGCGAGCAGACCGCCCCUUGGCUCAAAGUCAUCCUGCUGUCCCGGCUGCUGGUUCUCCAGGCCAACAAAGACCAGCAUGACAAAACACAUCGAGAAAGUGUCACAGAAUGCUCUUCUGCAGGAGCCUUGCUUCUAGAAGUGGAGUGGAUCUGCAGUCCAUAUAAAAGCUUGGGCAAAGUUUUACAAGGUGCAACCAUGUACUAG